Molecule: ribosomal RNA, 481 nt
Filed under: uncultured bacterium
Lineage: Bacteria
Description: partial 16S ribosomal RNA
Rfam family: Bacterial small subunit ribosomal RNA
Source: RNAcentral
UUGCACGCUGGCGGCAUGCCUUACCCCUGCCAGUCGAACGGUAACAGGUCUUCGGAUGCUGACGAGUGGCGAACGGGUGAGUAAUACAUCGGAACGUGCCCGAUCGUGGGGGAUAACGAGGCGAAAGCUUUGCUAAUACCGCAUACGAUCUACGGAUGAAAGCGGGGGAUCUUCGGACCUCGCGCGGACGGAGCGGCCGAUGGCAGAUUAGGUAGUUGGUGGGAUAAAAGCUUACCAAGCCGACGAUCUGUAGCUGGUCUGAGAGGAUGAUCAGCCACACUGGGACUGAGACACGGCCCAGACUCCUACGGGAGGCAGCAGUGGGGAAUUUUGGACAAUGGGCGAAAGCCUGAUCCAGCCAUGCCGCGUGCAGGAUGAAGGCCUUCGGGUUGUAAACUGCUUUUGUACGGAACGAAAAGCCUCUUUCUAAUAAAGAGGGGUCAUGACGGUACCGUAAGAAUAAGCACCGGCUAACUACGUG